Molecule: ribosomal RNA, 326 nt
Filed under: uncultured eukaryote
Lineage: Eukaryota
Description: partial 18S ribosomal RNA
Rfam family: Eukaryotic small subunit ribosomal RNA
Source: RNAcentral
CCCUUAGAUGUCCUGGGCCGCACGCGCGUUACACUGAUGCAUUCAACGAGCUUAUAACCUUGGCCGAGAGGCCUGGGCAAUCUUGUUAACGUGCAUCGUGAUAGGGAUAGAUUAUUGAAAUUAUUAAUCUUCAACGAGGAAUUCCUAGUAAGCGCGAGUCAUCAGCUCGUGCUGAUUACGUCCCUGCCCUUUGUACACACCGCCCGACGCUCCUACCGAUUGAGUGCUCAGGUGAAUAAUUCGGACUGCAGCAAUGUUCGGAUCCCGAACGUUGCAGCGGAAAGUUUAGUGAACCUUAUCACUUAGAGGAAGGAGAAGUCGUAACA